RNAcentral lists this ribosomal RNA (253 nucleotides) under uncultured bacterium. RNAcentral's name for it is "partial 16S ribosomal RNA". It matches the Rfam family "Bacterial small subunit ribosomal RNA", at positions 524 to 776 of the family's 1533-position model. The record is from RNAcentral.
AACGUAGGACACAAGCGUUAUCCGGAUUUACUGGGCGUAAAGGGCGUUUAGGCGGGUGAUUAAGUUCGCUAUGAAAGCGCCAGGCUAAACCUGGCGAGGCUGGCGGAUACUGGUCAUCUGGAGUAAGGAAGAGGGAGGUAGAAUUCCGCGUGUAGUGGUGAAAUGCGCAGAUAUCAGGAGGAACACCUAUUGCGAAGGCAGCUCGCUGGGACGUUACUGACGCUGAGACGCGAAAGCGUGGGGAGCAAACAGG